Molecule: ribosomal RNA, 253 nt
Filed under: uncultured bacterium
Lineage: Bacteria
Description: partial 16S ribosomal RNA
Rfam family: Bacterial small subunit ribosomal RNA
Source: RNAcentral
GACGGAGGGUGCUAGCGUUGUUCGGAAUUACUGGGCGUAAAGAGCGCGUAGGCGGCCUGGUCAGUCGGAUGUGAAAGCCCGGGGCUCAACCCCGGAACGGCAUCCGAGACGGCCAGGCUGGAGACCGGGAGAGGAGAGUGGAAUAGCCAGUGUAGAGGUGAAAUUCGUAGAUAUUGGCUGGAACACCGGUGGCGAAAGCGGCUCUCUGGCCCGGUUCUGACGCUGAGGCGCGAAAGCGUGGGGAGCAAACAGG